UGGGGGAAGUUGAGAAAUUACAAAUUUUUUAAGAAUCUGGUUGAGAUUCCUAAAACCCCGCC
RNAcentral lists this transfer RNA (62 nucleotides) under Anadara broughtonii. Its description in RNAcentral is "Scapharca broughtonii tRNA-Cys". The record is from RNAcentral. Lineage: Eukaryota; Metazoa; Mollusca; Bivalvia; Arcoida; Arcidae.